Molecule: ribosomal RNA, 398 nt
Filed under: uncultured bacterium
Lineage: Bacteria
Description: partial 16S ribosomal RNA
Rfam family: Bacterial small subunit ribosomal RNA
Source: RNAcentral
AUACGUAGGGUGCGAGCGUUGUCCGGAAUUACUGGGCGUAAAGAGCUCGUAGGUGGUUUGUCGCGUCGUCUGUGAAAUUCCGGGGCUUAACUCCGGGCGUGCAGGCGAUACGGGCAUAACUUGAGUACUGUAGGGGAGACUGGAAUUCCUGGUGUAGCGGUGAAAUGCGCAGAUAUCAGGAGGAACACCGGUGGCGAAGGCGGAUCUCUGGGCAGUAACUGACGCUGAGGAGCGAAAGCAUGGGUAGCGAACAGGAUUAGAUACCCUGGUAGUCCCUGCCGUAAACGGUGGGCGCUAGGUGUAGGGGUCUUCCACGACUUCUGUGCCGUAGCUAACGCAUUAAGCGCCCCGCCUGGGGAGUACGGCCGCAAGGCUAAAACUCAAAUGAAUUGACGGGG